Molecule: long non-coding RNA, 224 nt
Organism: Telopea speciosissima
Lineage: Eukaryota; Viridiplantae; Streptophyta; Magnoliopsida; Proteales; Proteaceae
Exons: 3
Source: RefSeq, a predicted model, not a curated record
UCAAUUUUUUGGAGUAUUUCCCAGAAGUGACUGCUGCCUGUGUAUUUAACUUUCUUGAGCUUUUCAUUCCUGUAAAGCAUUAGUCUGCCAAAUUGUAAUGUGGACCUAUGUAUAAUUGUGGACUUGUCGCAUCAGAGGAGCUGUCCCCAAAUGAUCACAAACUGAGAACCAACCAGCAACUACAGGUAUGAAACUGUUUCAUCCAUUAGUAAAACAAUGUUGAG